Molecule: long non-coding RNA, 324 nt
Filed under: Phoenix dactylifera (date palm)
Lineage: Eukaryota; Viridiplantae; Streptophyta; Magnoliopsida; Arecales; Arecaceae
Description: long non-coding RNA (PDAC_LNC016347)
Source: RNAcentral
AGAGAGUAAAGAUUCUAGUUAGACUUUUGUACUUGAUCCUAAUCUGUUCUAAGGUCUUUUAGAAAAAAUGUAACUCCCACUAUUUUCUCGAAUUCCUCACACUCCCCUGGUAGGAAAACGGAAAUCCCACACGACUAGGAUUUCUAGUGGGUACUGCGGUCCCACCAAUUUACAUGCCACCUCACCUAACAGUUAUUGGUGAUACAUAGAUUGAUGAAUGUACAACUCUUGUACAAUGCUUCUCAAGCAUGUUGCAGUGUAACUUGGUCUCUAAGCCAUGAAAAUCUCACCUAACAGUUAUUAGUCCCAUUUCUUAGUUAAGUC